GGGUUUAUAUAACAGCGUGAUUCUGGGUCAGGGAGCAGCAAACACACGCUCCUGUGUACACACACUUGCUGUAGGCAGCACACUCCUCAGAACAGAUGGCUCCAGCCCGGGCUAAGCACAUCACUCAGGGAAAAUGACUUUUUUGCAGCAGGGUAGUGUUCAGUGACUGCCAGUGAAGGAACUACUGCUGGUGAAAAUUCCCACAUUUUCACAGAGUUGCUGCCUGGGAAGCCUGGGCAAUGUGGUCUCCAGCACCUGCUGGCGUGUGCAAGCUGUGAGUGCCAGCCUCAAGGAAGCAUCCUGAUGGAAAAUAAAUAAAUAAUAAUUAAAUAAUAAAUAAAUAAAUGAAUGAACCCAAGCUGCAA
Serinus canaria (Common canary) is the source of this 365-nucleotide long non-coding RNA. RefSeq lists it as uncharacterized. The transcript has 3 exons. NCBI's taxonomy places the organism in Eukaryota, Metazoa, Chordata, Aves, Passeriformes, Fringillidae. The record is from RefSeq and is a predicted model, not a curated record.